UUGCAGCCAGUUAAGCUGACUGUGCUCUUUUCCCCAUGGGGGCCCUGUGUGCAGUGGCUCUAAUCAGCAGCAUCCUUGGUAGCGUAUGCAGCCUGUUGCCAGUAUAAGUUGCCCUAAGGGACCUUGAAGAAAGCC
This 135-nucleotide small nucleolar RNA is filed under the name Catagonus wagneri (Chacoan peccary). RNAcentral's name for it is "Small nucleolar RNA SNORA70 (ENSCWAG00000015878.1)". It matches the Rfam family "Small nucleolar RNA SNORA70". Rfam says of the family: snoRNA U70 seems to be exclusive to mammals and is a member of the H/ACA class of snoRNA which contain H (ANANNA) and ACA box motifs. Lineage: Eukaryota; Metazoa; Chordata; Mammalia; Artiodactyla; Tayassuidae. The record is from Rfam by way of RNAcentral.